Molecule: ribosomal RNA, 465 nt
Filed under: Vreelandella stevensii
Lineage: Bacteria; Pseudomonadati; Pseudomonadota; Gammaproteobacteria; Oceanospirillales; Halomonadaceae
Description: partial 16S ribosomal RNA
Rfam family: Bacterial small subunit ribosomal RNA
Source: RNAcentral
CCUACGGGAGGCAGCAGUGGGGAAUAUUGGACAAUGGGGGGAACCCUGAUCCAGCCAUGCCGCGUGUGUGAAGAAGGCCCUCGGGUUGUAAAGCACUUUCAGUGAGGAAGAACGCCUGGUGGUUAAUACCCAUCAGGAAAGACAUCACUCACAGAAGAAGCACCGGCUAACUCCGUGCCAGCAGCCGCGGGAAUACGGAGGGUGCGAGCGUUAAUCGGAAUUACUGGGCGUAAAGCGCGCGUAGGUGGCUUGAUAAGCCGGUUGUGAAAGCCCCGGGCUCAACCUGGGAACGGCAUCCGGAACUGUCAAGCUAGAGUGCAGGAGAGGAAGGUAGAAUUCCCGGUGUAGCGGUGAAAUGCGUAGAGAUCGGGAGGAAUACCAGUGGCGAAGGCGGCCUUCUGGACUGACACUGACACUGAGGUGCGAAAGCGUGGGUAGCAAACAGGAUUAGAUACCCCAGUAGUC